UGCCGUCUGCGGGGUUUGGCAGUUGGAUUAAAAUAGGUUCAAUCCCAACGCUUCAACCCCGGGUUCUGCCUCUGUCCGAACCGCGCAAGCUCCUCGUUAAAGUGGAGGAGAAGCAGGCUUUGGGUAUGUGGGACCCACCUUAAUUGGAUGCGGGGUUGAUCAUGAUCCGGCACCGGCUCCGCGGACGGUUU
Molecule: non-coding RNA, 191 nt
Filed under: Myxococcota bacterium
Lineage: Bacteria; Pseudomonadati; Myxococcota
Description: 6S RNA
Rfam family: 6S / SsrS RNA
About the family: E. coli 6S RNA was the first non coding RNA to be sequenced, but its function was unknown until recently. It consists of 184 nucleotides that fold into an extended hairpin structure with a large single-stranded internal bulge. The 6S RNA specifically associates with RNA polymerase holoenzyme containing the sigma70 specificity factor.
Source: RNAcentral